This 253-nucleotide ribosomal RNA is filed under the name uncultured bacterium. RNAcentral's name for it is "partial 16S ribosomal RNA". It matches the Rfam family "Bacterial small subunit ribosomal RNA", at positions 524 to 776 of the family's 1533-position model. The record is from RNAcentral.
UACGGAGGGUGCAAGCGUUAUCCGGAUUCACUGGGUUUAAAGGGUACGUAGGAGGGCAGGUAAGUCAGUGGUGAAAUCCCCGAGCUUAACUUGGGAACUGCCGUUGAUACUAUCUGUCUUGAAUGUUGUGGAGGUGAGCGGAAUAUGUCAUGUAGCGGUGAAAUGCUUAGAUAUGACAUAGAACACCAAUUGCGAAGGCAGCUCGCUACACAAUUAUUGACUCUGAGGCACGAAAGCGUGGGGAUCAAACAGG